Molecule: ribosomal RNA, 96 nt
Filed under: Sorex araneus (European shrew)
Lineage: Eukaryota; Metazoa; Chordata; Mammalia; Eulipotyphla; Soricidae
Source: RNAcentral
GUCUGUGGCCAUGCCUCCCUGAACACACCUGACCUUGGGAGCUAAGCAAGGUUGGGCCUGGUAAAUACUUGGAUUAGAAAAUAGAAACAGCAGAUA